This is a long non-coding RNA of Mytilus trossulus (common blue mussel), 1622 nucleotides long. RefSeq lists it as uncharacterized. The transcript is spliced from 5 exons. NCBI's taxonomy places the organism in Eukaryota, Metazoa, Mollusca, Bivalvia, Mytilida, Mytilidae. The record is from RefSeq and is a predicted model, not a curated record.
AUGCUCGAUUUGAGAUCUAAAUUUUAUUGUUAAAAAAGGCUAGCUGUUGUCAAAUAAAUUUUGUGAGCAGUUUUAAUACCGAGGGUGUGUCUUAUUUUGUGAGUUUUCAUUGGUUUGGAGUUUUUAGACCCUUCAUUGUUGACCAGUGGAAAACUUCCCGCCGAAGUGUUUCAAAUAGCACUUUGUCUUCAAACGAACAAGAUGGACACAUGCAGUUUACAGAAGCAAAAGAUUUGAUUUGAACUGUUCGUGAAACCACACAUACUCAAGAGAAUUUACAAGACUAUUAUCCACAAAAUGCAACAGUCUUAUUUUGAUGAAUUGUUGAACCAGAGAAAUGUGAAGACUUACAGACACCUAGACUGUAUAGUCAACAUGAUUAGAGAAUCAGACUACAGUGAACAUUACAAUGAUUAGAAAAUCAGACUAGAGUCAACAUUACAAUGAUUAGAGAAUCAGACUAUAGUCAACAUUACAAUGAUUAGAAAAUCAGCCAGCUGCAUUUCAUCAAUCAGUUUAUGAUGAAGCUUUACAGCAUUGGAAAUGAUUACUCAGAGACCAAACAACUGAGCAGAAAGAAGAACCGUAUGACCUUGAAGAGUAAGCAAUGUACAUGUAUUAAGUAUAUUUGGGGUUACCAAAGAGUAUGGUAAGAACCUCAUCUUAAAUUAUACUUGAGUUCUUACAAAGAUGCAUAGAGUUCUUACGAAGAUGUAUAGGUAUGCAGUAUUUAUUAUUUUUGUCUCUGUGUAUUUUUGUCAAUGAGGUAAAACCACAGAACAAAUCAAUCAGAAGUAUUAACUGGUGGAAUUUGAGAACACCCUGGAACACGAGAAAUAUCCUACCUCACAAAAUUUAACAUGAGACAUCUUGUUUUCACCUUUUUUCAAGGAAGCAGCACACACAGUGUAAUCAUGAAGGUAUCCAUGUCCUGGAACAUCUGGGAAUAGCAUAUCUCUAAUAGUAUUUUUACUACUAUCCUCAAAAUUCAAACAAAACAGUCAGAUAUUUUGAUCAACAAGAGGUACAAUCUCAAACCAUGUGGUGAAAAAAGACAACACAUAACCAAAAAAAGUGACGGAAAAUUGUCUACACUGACAACAAAAUAUUAUACAGCAACAACCCAUUCAAAGACCUGAGAGAUUCUCAAGCACCAAUUCAACCAAAGACCAGGGAUGAACUCCAGCACUGAGCACCAACCAAAACAAAGAACAGACAUGAACUAGGGCAAAAAGCACCAACCCAACCAAAGACCUAAGAGGUUUUCAGGCACCAUGCAACCAACUAAACUAAAUAGCCAGGGAUGAUCUCAGACACCAUGCACCAACCUUUCCAAAGAUCAGGGAUGCUUUCAGGCACAACAACCUUACCAAAGACCAGGAAUGAUCUGACACCAAGCACCAACCAAAACAAAAAAAAAGGGUGAUCUCAGACACCACAGAAUGUUAGCAAGUAUUUGAUAUGGUAACUUAUCUACUACUUGUGUAAGUAAAAUGUUUUUUUUUUCAUUCUGUGCUGCAUUUAUUCUAUCAAAAAUUGUCAAAAUGCAACAUGAAAUUUUUAUGUGUUUUUCAUCUCUUUCUUCAAAAUGUUUUACAUAUUGAAAUUUUUUGAAAAUUCCA